Molecule: long non-coding RNA, 7840 nt
Organism: Alligator mississippiensis (American alligator)
Lineage: Eukaryota; Metazoa; Chordata; Crocodylia; Alligatoridae
Exons: 3
Source: RefSeq, a predicted model, not a curated record
CCACACUCAGUUCCCUGCCAGCAAUCAGAGAGGCAGGAGCUCCCUAAGCCAGGAUACGGGAUGAAGCUUGACCACAGCAGGCAGAGACCCCUGAGACUACCAGCUUUCAUGCAGUACUCAAGACCCACAUGGGACAGCGACCUCCAAAUUGGGCAGCCAAGAUGAUGCUGGGAGAUCACACAAGUCUGCCAGAGAAGGGAUAAAAGGCAGUGAAGUGUGACCCUCAGUGGCGCCCCCACAUCCAGCACCUGACUUACCGAGACAGGAGGACAAGCAGGUGACCCCUUUUUGGAGAAGACACCACCCAGGAGGAAGCUGACCAUUGACAGCAAAUCUGCAGGGCCUCAGAUAGCCUUUUCACUGCAGUAGGGGCCUCCCAGAUCUGGUCACAUCAGUAGCAGAAGGGGAGAGAGAUGGAAGGUGUCAGAAAACCCAAUGUAAUGUAAUGCGUUGUGUGCACUGAAAAUGCAAUAUGAGCGUGUGACAGGAGGGGGAGCAACCUUGUGGAGAGUUACUGACUGACCAUGGACCACAAAUCCCAGAGGCACCUGGAAGCAGGAAGUGGAAGGGACAAGAAACCCUGCAGACCUCUGCUGCUAGACUGCAAAUCCCAGGAGACCUUGGUGGAGCAGGAAGAAGUGGGGGGAUCUGGGAGCCUGGGCUGGCUACUGCCAGGAGUCCUGGGGGUGAUGGUGGUGCUGCUGUGAGCUGGACUGAAUGGGAGAAAAACCCCUGCAUUGCGCAGACGAACCACAGACCAACUGCACGUGAUCCCCGAUCUCUGUGCAGCCCUGAACAGAGCGACUCUGGACUAAAGGCUGGUUCUUGGGAACAUCCCCAGAGGUGGGCCCGGAUUCUACGUGCUGAAUGUAUGUGCCCUGGCGGUGCUGACCACUACCUGUUUGCUCAUCCUCUAAGUGUAUGUUGUUAUACUGUGAAUGCCUAUUUACCUGAAUUUGUCCUUUCCUGUUGGCCUCUUGGCUUGUGACUGAAACCCCUAAGACACUUGCUAUGAAGUAAAUCCCUCACUGGCUGUUGUGAUUGCAUCUGACACUGCAGGGGUCUGUUACACCGAGAAGGAAUCAACCCAUAAGUAAACUAAUGGUUUCCUACCUUGUAUUCCUGGGCAGUCUCGCUGCAGCUGGGUGCACUGAGGAUCUGUCACACGCCAGGUAGACAGUUGUUCCAUCCUCAGACCACAGGAGUUUCAGAGCCUGGUGCUCUCCAGACACCCUCUGCCUUUCAGCUUCUUCAGCUGUCCUCUGGGUUAUUUCUAUACCGUUCUCCAGCUGCUUGUUCAAGAGGUUGCUCAGGAGAAAGGUCUCACCAAGGGCAGCAGGUGUUUGUAACCAGCCCCUCCCAGCAGUGAGUGAUGCAGGCUCUGCAGACAUUGUGCCCACAGUCCAUAAGCAUCUGCAGAUCCUUGAAGAACUCCAGGCAGACGGAGCAGGUGGCUUCAUCCUGGAGACUUUCGAGAGGGCUCUCAGCAGCCAUGGCUCUGAGAAGGGAGUGUGACAGGUUGUUUCACUUUUCUGAGUUCAGGAAAGUGCUCAGCCUAAAGCAUCAGCCAGGUAUUUUCCUUCCUGGAAAGGAUUCCUGUUGUCUGCUGACCUGGCAGCUCCUGGGCACAGCUGUCUCUUAGCUCUUGGGCUGCCAAGGAAGCUGUAGCACACAGGGAAGCAGAAAUUUGUGACAGUUGCUAUUUUUGCAGCCUGCCAUUGAAGUAGGUGAUCGAGGCAUCAGUUUAGUUAUGCUAACAUCCUUCCAGGUCCGUGGAUUCAGGCCUUUCCCUUUUCUGCAAAGGAUGGGAGGGGUUCAGUGUGCUGCAUCUGCAGGAGGUCACUCGCUGGCUGCUGGCACUUCCCCUCCAUCUUUCUGAUCAUUUUGUAGAGAUGGGAAUCUCCUCAAAGAGUUUGGUGACUUUUUCUCCCUGAAUCUUCUCCCUUUCCAGCUCUUCAAGCCAGGCCAGCCAGAAGCGUUCCUGUUUUUCUAGGAAACCAUUCAAGUUCAGACACAAUCUUCCACCCCUUGGCAGCUUUGUUUUCCUGCCACAAUGAGAGAGUAGCCUGGGAAGACUCAGGGGAUGUUGAGUAAGACCUGGUGGGCCUGACUGUCUGCAGAAGGUCCCCCAGAGCUCCCAUGGUUUUUGGCAGUACUUGGGGCUGCUCAGCAUCUCUGGCCCUGCCUGGUAGCCAUGCACCUGGUUCUUCAAAGAUUUUUCUGCAGCCCUGAGGACUAGAAACCUAUGUAGGGGAAAAAUCAAUGGCUCCUUCUGAGGAAAGCUUCCCCUUCGCCACAGCUGAGUGGCCUGGUAAGGCCUGGCUGCAUGUACCUGCCACCUCCCACAGCAACAUGCAGUCACAGCAUAUCACACCUAGCACCACCAAAUGCACAGAGAAAGAGACACCCCCUGCUCCUGCUCCCCCCAGUCAUCCUGAUCACCAGGAACCACAAGCAAAAAGUUAUUCUACUGAGCAGGCUGGAGGGUGUGUGGGUUUGGGCCCUGUUGUGUCUUAUUGUGUUUUCCUUAUACUGUCCCUUGAAGGCCAAAGCCGUCAUGUCCAGCACUGCAGGGUUCAAUUUGCUUGUGGCAAUUUUGCAGCACUGUGGAGGGGACUCCAUUUUUCUCUGCCAUGAGGAGCCAGAGGCAUUCUUGGUUUCUCUCCGUCCACAGGACUGAACUGGGUCAAGUCAGAGGUAGAGCAAGUAUAUGUUCUGUACACAUAUACAAAGGGCAUUUGUUAAGAUCCACCCUGAUUCCAGAGAGUUAUAAUAAUGAAUAACUGUUAGUUCAACCCAGGAGUGUCCAGAGUGUUGUUGCUGAACUUGCAACAUAUCAUCUGGCGAUGAAGAUGGGAUCCUUUGCUGAAAAGACACCCUUAGAUUGUGGGAUGACAUUCUGAGACCCUGGCUGUGUUUUGUGAUCAGAGGAAAGUUUUUUCUUCUUCUUCUUUUCUCUCUAUUACAGCUGAUGUUAGUUAAAAUGGCCACAUUGGGGCAUGUAGAAGAAUUUGAUGCGAGCCAGACAGCUUCUUGGGAAUCCUAUGCCAAGAGGCUGUCCUAUUACCUGGAAGCCAACAAAGUGGAAAACCCAGCACAGAAGUGCGCAAUCCUCCUGACAGUCUGUGGUGCCAAAAUAUGUGCCAUUGCCCGUUGCCUCACAGCACCUGCCUUACCAAACACUAAAUCUUAUGCUGAACUAAUUUCUUUGCUAAAGGCACAUUUUUGCCCAAGGCCAUCUGUUACCCUGCAGAGAUUUCAUUUUUUUUAAAUGGGACCAAAAGGCCAACGAAGGCAUAGCAGAUUACCUGGCUGAGCUCUGUCACCUUGCAGAAUUUGGUGAGUUUGGUGAUAUUCUGGAUGGCCUGCUUCAUGACUGUCUUUUUUGUGGGGUUCUAGAUGAAGUAAUCUAAGAUCGCCUGCUCUCUGAACUAGAUUUGACCUUGGCUACUGAACAAGAAAAAGCCUUGGCAGCUGAAGUAGCAUCCCAUAACGUGAGAGAAAUUCACCAGGUGUUCUCCAGCAAUGUCCACUUACUCCAAAAAGAUCAAGAAUCAGAUCAUCACCAGCAAAUUCAGCAGAUUAUACCCUCACCAACAGCACCAUGUAAACCAAUUAAUCCAUAGACAUAUCUGAGUCGUGGCAGCCAACAUAGACAAAGGGAGUGCAGGUUUAGGAAUGUGGAGUGUCGUACCUGCAAGAAGAAGGGCCACAUAGAGAGGGUUCGCCACUCGAAGGCCAGUUCUGGAAGACAAAAAGACUGUGGCAAAUGUAUUCACUCCCAAACCACUGUCAUAUUGAAUGUAAUAUUUGAAUGUUUGUAAUAGUUGCCCAUUAGCCAGUUUAGGAAGACAAGAUUCAUCUUCUUAUCUAGGCCAUUGUUUUGGCCUGCGUGCGGAAGGUCCUGACUUUCCUCAAAGUCUUACCUUUUGAAUUUUAUCUUUAGAGGCCUUUAACAAAGUUAACAUAAAAAUAACCCUUAAGCAAACAUCCCACAUUCCGAGAAAUCAAACCUAGGAGCCUUUUAAAAGAUUGGAAAGAAAGGAAAUUCCUCAAAGUAAUUAAAUGAUCAACAAAAGAAACUAAUUACCAAGCAAAAGAAUCUGUUAAGAAAGAUCUGAGCCCAAAUUUGGGAGUAGUGACAGGUUUCAGUAGGAGGGGCCCAAGACAGCAACUCACUUAAUAAAAACUGUAACCUACUGUUCCAAUUUGGAGGUAACCUCACUUGCAGAACAAUGAAGGAAGAAUCGCAAGUGUAGGCCGGAUCAGACUGAUCACCUGAACCACCCUCUCCGUGAACACGAAUCUCUUAGUUCACGCUGAAGCUGCGGAGCACCCGAAAGGGACUGAAGGAAGGGGACUUAGUCCUAUCAGUAUUGAGGCCAGCCCAUUGAACCGUAUUGCUGAGGCCAACCCAUUAAAUUGUACUACUGAGGAAUGAAAGCAUAUCUAGAUGUUUGGCUUCUCGGAAUUCUAGGAUUUUGAUUGUAAGUAUAUUAUGAAAAAUAAUAGUAUUGAUUCAAAUUUAACUUUUAGUUGUAAUUGUUUUAAAGAAGUGCAUUUGGAGCAUUGUUUCUGAUAUAUGUUGUUAUUGUGUUCUUAAUGUUUGUGGUAUUUCUUAAAGCUAAGCAGUGUUAUAUGCGUAGCAAAGAAUUUUAAAGUAAAAUUGUGUUGUAUGAAUUAAGUGUGCAAUCGUUGUGAAAUCAUGCAAGUAGCUAAAAAUUUCCCCAGCCAGUGCAUCAAACGAAUCAGUAAGUUGUGUGGGAUCUUCUCUAUUCCAUAACCCACUAGAGACAACCACUCAUGGAUUAGAGUUCUCCCCAGAACAUGAGGUACAAAACCAUGUUUGAUUCAAAAUGUCGGUGUUGUUGAAACUCAAGGUUCUGAGAUGAUUGUAAUUGUAGUAAUAAAUGGAAAGAAAUGCAAAAUGGAAGUGGGCUCAGGUUUGGGAGUAUCCCUCAUAGAUGAAAACACAUUCUUCAAGUUGUUUUGGCACCCUCUCCCCAAGUUAUUGAAACCUGAGUGUUGCCUGCAUGACUACAAUGGACAGACUGUGGAAACUCUAGGUAGCUGAAGUAUAGAUGUCCAGUAUGGAUCUGUUAGACAGCGUCUACCCCUCAUUGUCACUAAGGGUUCCUGCAAAAGUCUUCUGGGGAGAAAUUGGUUCUCACCAUUGGAAAUCAGUAUUCAAGGCAUACGCAGUCUCUGCACAGAAAGUCUGCAAAGGCUUACAAGGGAGUUUCCCCACCUAUUCUCUGAGGAAUUAAGAACUUACUGUGGUCCGCCUGUGACGUUCCAAAUGGAUCCUGUGGUAGCCCCUAUCUUUAUGAAAGCUUGGAAUGUACCUUUCACAUUGCAGCCAAAAAUUGAUGCAGAAUUAGAUCGGUUUAUCGCGCAAGAGUUCCUCAAGCCAAUUGUACAUACAAGCUGGGCCACACCAGUUGCUCCCAUUUUAAAACCUAAUGGCAGUGUUCACAUCUGUGGGGAUUACAAGUGCACUGGUAAUAAAGCACUUAAGCAGGACCCACCCCCAGUGCCUGCCAUUAACCAGUUACUGUCUGUUCCUGCAGGAGGGAAGAUUUUUCCCAAACUUGAGCUUGGUAAAGCCUAUCAGAAAUUGAUAGUGGAUGUCAAGACUACUGAGGCCCAAACAAUAAUUACACUCUGGGGAGCAUUCUGUGUCAAGCACCACCACUUUCGAAUUUCUGUAGCACCAGGAAUUUUCCAGUGGUUCAUGGAGAAAUUGCUAGCAGGAAUUCCUGGGGUUGUUCCAUACUUGGAUGAUGUGUUGAUAAUGGGGCUGUCUAGAGAGAAACUCACUGAGAGACUCAGAGAAGUUUUACAGAGAUUUGAUAAAGCAGGUAUCAGAGUAAAAAAGAGAGAAAUGUCAACUGGGAGUUUUCAGCAUCAACUUUCUGGGAUAUCAGAUUGAUGCUUCUGGCAUUCACCCAGCUGAAGACAAGGCAAGAGCAAUACAUGAUUCCCCUAUACCAAAAUGCAGACAGGAUCUUCAAGCACGCUUAGGACUUCUCAGUUUUUAUCACAUCUUCUUGAAAGACAAAGCCACCAUAGCAGAGCCCCUUCAUUACUUACUGGAUAAAGGAGCUCAGUGGAAGUGGAAGCUCUCCAUCAACUGUUUGCAACCCAUGGAGUGCCCGACACUAUCAUUUCUGAUAAUGGCAGUGCAUUCACCUCAGCAGAGUUCCAAGAUUUUGCCAGCCGCAACCUCAUUCAAACUGUUACCAUUACACCUUGCAGGUCAGAGGCCAAUAGGCAAGCUGAACGAAUGGUGCAGACUGCAAAAGAUGCACAGAAAAGGAUUGUUGUAGAAGACUGGCCAGAUUUCUGCUUGCUCAACAUGUAAUUCCUUGCCCUAAAACAGGGUCCAGCCCAUCAGAGCUUCUUAUAGGUUGUCAUCUCAAGACAUGCCUUGACCAUGUUAACCCAGACCUUGUGUGAGACAUGCAGUUUAGGAAAGAAAAGGAGUUGGACCCCGCGUUGGCAUCUGGUACUUUACUUCUUUUCAUUCCACAAGAAACUGUGUUUGCUCAGAACAAUGGGACAGGCCCAGAGUGGGUUCAAUCUAAAAUUGUGGGUGUCACAGGGCCCAUAUCAUAUACAGUCAAAUCUGAUGAUAGGCAAGUUUGGAGACAUCAUAUGGCCCAGCUGCUUGGGCAUUCUCCUGCUGAUAACCUUACACUUGAGCAAUUUCCAAGCACCAACAGACAUGGAUUCAUUGGGGAAGUGCCAACCUGGUUCCAGCAAUGCAAACCCUUUUUCAUCACCGUCAGAAGGAAGCGUCACUGUUGAGUCUCCAGAUAGGCUGACAGGGCCGCCAUCUGCUGAACUCCUCACUGAGUCUGGUUCUAUGGGAAGACCACAGCAGAAGUGGAGUCUUCCCAAAUGGCUGGCUGGCUCUUCUGGCUAGGGGGAAGGAGUGUUGUUUCAUAGACAUUAAGGGCUGGAAGGGACCCCGUGAGAUCAAGUCCAGCCCCCCUGCCAUAGGCAGGAAGUCAGCUGGGGUCAAGUUAUCCCAGCAAGAAAAAUAUCCAGAUGUUUUUUGAAAGAGUCCAGAGUAGAUGCUUGCACCACCUCUGUGGGGAGUCUGUUUCAGACCCUGGAUACAUGCACCAUUAGGAACUUUUUUUUAACAUCUAGUCUAAAUCAGCCUUCCUGGAGCUUAUGGUCAUUAGACCUUGUUAUAGCUUGGGGAGUUCUGGUGAACAGCUGUUCUCCCAGGUCCUGAGGUACCCCUCUUAUAUAAUUGUAGGCUGCUACCAAGUCCCCCCCCCGAGCCUUCUCUUUUCCAGACUGAAGAGUCCCAAAUCCCUCAGCCUCUCCUUGUAUGGCCUGCCCUCCAGGCCUUGGGUGGCUCUCCUCUGGACUCUCUCAAAUUUUUCCACAUCCCUCCUGGUGUGGAGGGCCCAAAAUUGGAUGUAGUACUCCAGCUGCGGCCUCACCAAGGCCAAGUAAAGUGGGAGGAUGACUUCCCUGGUUUUGCUUGAGAUGCAUCGGUAGAUGCACACCAGAGUUUGGUUUGUUUUGGCAGCCACAGCAUUGCAAUGGUGACUCAUAUUCAUCUUGUGGUCAGUUGGGACCCCCAAGUCUUUUUUGGUUGUGGUGCUAGCGAGCGUAGCACUGCCAAGCCUGUAAGUAUGUUGAAGGUUCUUCCUACCGAGGUGCAGCACCUUGCACUUCUCUACAUUGACGGCCAUCAGGUUUUGGUCAGCCAACCUUGAGAGUGUGUCCAAGUCAGCCUGUAUCCCCAGCCUGUCCUGCUGUGUGACCGCCCUCCCCCAUAAUUUGGUGUCAUCCAUAAACUUUGCCAGUUUGUAUCUGA